RNAcentral lists this ribosomal RNA (495 nucleotides) under uncultured bacterium. RNAcentral's name for it is "partial 16S ribosomal RNA". It matches the Rfam family "Bacterial small subunit ribosomal RNA", at positions 28 to 507 of the family's 1533-position model. The record is from RNAcentral.
GACGAACGCUGGCGGCGUGCCUAAUACAUGCAAGUAGAACGCUGAAGGAGGAGCUUGCUUCUCUGGAUGAGUUGCGAACGGGUGAUUAACGCGUAGGUAACCUGCCUGGUAGCGGGGGAUAACUAUUGGAAACGAUAGCUAAUACCGCAUAAUAGCAGUUGUUGCAUGACAACUGUUUGAAAGGUGCAAUUGCACCACUACCAGAUGGACCUGCGUUGUAUUAGCUAGUUGGUGGGGUAACGGCUCACCAAGGCGACGAUACAUAGCCGACCUGAGAGGGUGAUCGGCCACACUGGGACUGAGACACGGCCCAGACUCCUACGGGAGGCAGCAGUAGGGAAUCUUCGGCAAUGGACGGAAGUCUGACCGAGCAACGCCGCGUGAGUGAAGAAGGUUUUCGGAUCGUAAAGCUCUGUUGUAAGAGAAGAACGAGUGUGAGAGUGGAAAGUUCACACUGUGACGGUAUCUUACCAGAAAGGGACGGCUAACUACGUG